RNAcentral lists this ribosomal RNA (582 nucleotides) under uncultured bacterium. Its description in RNAcentral is "partial 16S ribosomal RNA". It matches the Rfam family "Bacterial small subunit ribosomal RNA", at positions 355 to 1375 of the family's 1533-position model. The record is from RNAcentral.
UGGGGAAUUUUGGACAAUGGGCGAAAGCCUGAUCCAGCAAUGCCGCGUGUGUGAAGAAGGCCUUCGGGUUGUAAAGCACUUUUGUCCGGAAAGAAAUCCUUGGCUCUAAUACAGUCGGGGGAUGACGGUACCGGAAGAAUAAGCACCGGCUAACUACGUGCCAGCAGCCGCGGUAAUACGUAGGGUGCAAGCGUUAAUCGGAAUUACUGGGCGUAAAGCGUGCGCAGGCGGUUUGCUAAGACCGAUGUGAAAUCCCCGGGCUCAACCUGGGAACUGCAUUGGUGACUGGCAGGCUAGAGUAUGGCAGAGGGGGUAGAAUUCCACGUGUAGCAGUGAAAUGCGUAGAGAUGUGGAGGAAUACCGAUGGCGAAGGCAGCCCCCUGGGCCAAUACUGACGCUCAUGCACGAAAGCGUGGGGAGCAAACAGGAUUAGAUACCCUGGUAGUCCACGCCCUAAACGAUGUCAACUAGUUGUUGGGGAUUCAUUUCCUUAGUAACGUAGCUAACGCGUGAAGUUGACCGCCUGGGGAGUACGGUCGCAAGAUUAAACUUAAGGAAUUGACGGGGUCAUAGCUGUUUCCU